Molecule: long non-coding RNA, 4998 nt
Filed under: Physcomitrium patens
Lineage: Eukaryota; Viridiplantae; Streptophyta; Bryopsida; Funariales; Funariaceae
Description: long non-coding RNA (PPAT_LNC011608)
Source: RNAcentral
AGCACACCGCACAAUGGAAUCUCUCAGAGGCUAUAUCCAAGCAAAAUGGAUGUGGCGGAGAAGUUUAUUCAAGACAAUCCAUAGUAAGGCUUAACACACCAAUAUACACAUGAAGAAGAACUUCUUCGCAUCACGGAACAGAUGCAACCAGACGUAGAAAACCUAUUACUAGCAUUCGGGAUCGACAUUGCCACAAUAGGAGCCACAAGAGCGCCCACUCAUCCAACUUCUGAUGUAACGCAACCCGAUCCUGCACAUACAAAAACAAGAGCCAAUAUCAGUCAAGAGAUGAUGUAACUCAUGAAGGACCAAAUUGCAUUUGAGGAAAGUCACACCCUGAUAGAAUACUUGAGGAAAAAUCCUGGCCCAAGCAUACUCCACGAGUGGGCCACAAGAGUUCUACACAACUCCUACACCUCAACAACGAUGCUUGGGGGAGGUUACUUCAAAAUAUAAUUUAUGAGCAAACAAGGAAAACUACACAUGCUAUCUAAACCAUAUCAAUUCAACAACGAAGAUAUAUUAUUUUCCACCUGGAGAGCCGACUUCGACCUGGAAUCGGAAACCGACACGCACCAAACCUCCUCCCAAAUCUGGGCACAACUCCGAGGCUUAAGAAGGAUUUUUCGCACAACACAGUUUCUCACAGAAGCCUUUUCCACUAUCGAAGAAGUCAUAGCCGUUGACUCCACCAAAUCUUACCAAAACAAAGCUUCUGGUUCUAAGGUUCAGUUACCAGUCUAGGAUGUAGUCAACCUCCCACAUACUUCAGUUCUUCCCAAGAGGUGAACAUGAAUACCGAAUUGACUACAGUGUACUAUCCUCCUAGUGCAAUAGAUGUAGAAGUACUACACACCACGCUAAACACUGUACACUACCGUGGAGAGAAGAGCGCAAGAGAUCCAGAUAGAAAACCCCAACCUUGGAAAACUCGGUAACCGACAACCUCACCCAACACAGACAGACCAAUGGUGAAGAGAAAACAUUGAAAAAUGUAGGACCUAGGAAGAAGAACAGUGCAACUCUUCUACGCACCAAAUACAUCUGGGUAGAAAAGAAACCAACAAAAUCCACAGACACACAUGAAGGACCAGAAAAACCAUCUGAAUCAAUCAUAUACAACUCACCACAUACAAUUGAGCUUUUGGAGAGCUCUGGGAUCAGAACCGCCUUGCAAAGGAACAACUUAUGAGCAAAUUACAGUAGCUUUAGUUUGGUCAUCUCAAAACAACUUCCUUGAAACCCUGGUUUGCAAAGCUAGCGACACUCUGCUGUGCACAACACAACUGACUCACGUCCCAAAGGAGAAGGAUUGGUCAUCAUCAAUCGCUCAAACGCAUAUGGUUAACACCACAAUGCAAAAGCUCCAAACACAGAUAACCAAUAGAGGAAAUGGCCCCAACUUGCUCCGCACCUAGUCAGACGCAAUAUGGGUUUCAGAAUAGCUCAACUAAAAAUCUACUCACACAAACAAUUGGAUUACUAUCUUGCCAUACGACAAAAGCACCACAGCGAUCAAACAUCAAUAAACAAAGCACUGGAAGCAGAUACCAUCAUCAACAUCCCCCCCACAAGCUCUCAUACUAGAAAGGGUAAAGGAGAUAUCAUAUGGCCAAUGGUGUCAGACAAUCAUCCAUCUCCAAGAUUAACACACCCAGGAUGUGAACUCCUCUCCUCUAACUCACUUUGAGCAGAAACUCGGAGAGAACAACACAUCUAUUAUACAUGAAUGAUGGCCUAACAAUGGCCACAUACAACAUCCAGUGCUUAGGCGAAGGACUGGAUGGCGUCAGAAAAUGCUGUAAGCUUCGAAACUUAAUGCAAAAGACCUAUCUCAAACCCAACCUUAUAUUAUUACAAGAACAUCAAUUCAACCAUACUAACUGUACCAAACAAGCUACACAACUAGAUUUUCUACAAGGUACAAUGCUUUGGAACACCGUAGUGUACUCAGCACAAAAAGUGGCUUAGUUGGUGGAACAGCUAUUUUGGUAUCCAACAAACUCACCGAUAACCUAAAAGAACAUGGAGUGAUAGUCUGAGGAAGAGCGCAACGCUCCAUUUUCAAAAUCAGCCCCACAGUUCAAAUAGGCAUUCUAAAUGUCUAUGGUUACAGCCACACAGAACCCCGUGCAAGACUAUGGCAGAAAAUAGCAGACCACCCUUUACCAGAAGCCCUCUGGAUCAUGGGGGGCGAUUCUAAUUUUAUUGAGUCCCUCGAAGACAAGCAGGGUGGGAAUGCCAAUUUAAGACAAGGAACACAAGAAAUGACAGCAUGGAAUAACAUGCUCAUUAAACUAUAAGUUCAAGACAGUUUCCACAUGGGAGAAUUCUGCAAGAUUACCAAUAAACGCUUCACCUGGGAUAACAGAAGCCCAGCCCCGAAGACAGUACUCACCAAGCUAGAUAGAAUAUACAUUGGAGACAAACUCCAAGACUGAGGUGGACUAUGUGGAAUCUGGACAGCACAACCAAUCAUUUCGUAUUACACCCCUGCUUUCAUAAGAUUGAAACCUGCAUGCCGACCUCUACCCUAGAUGCAGUUCUUUGACAAACGACAACUAGAAUCAGUUGAAGGCAGACAACAUGUCACAGGAGCUUGAAAACAGGCCAUAUAAAACACUACAUAAACCAAAUGGAGCGAUAAAAUUGGCCUUACAAGCAGUAUGCAACACGAACCUAAAUAUUGCAAAAAAGAACAGACAGACUUGGAAAAAAUAGUACAAGAAUCAACUAAACCAGACACUCAAUGCCAAACUCCUCGUUCAAGAUAACUGAAAUGACCCAACGACGAGGGACACACUCAACACAACACAGCUAUAAUUACAAAAAAAUUGAUACAACAGGCUAGAAAAACAAUUCACAUUCCUUACAGUCAAAUGGACAAGAGUGAGAGACCGUUGCAACUCUGAGUUCUUUCAACACUACAGAGCUCGUCACUGCAAAGUCCGCAUCAAAGAAUCCAAUGAUAAGGACCGCAUUCAAAAGUUCCAGAAGCACAUGGCGCUUUAUGCACAAAGAUAUUACCAACAACUCUACACCCCAAACUCCACCGUUGAAUGCAAUGUAGACUCCGAAAGAGACACCUUAGCAAGCACUCCUAUAGUAGUCACAGAGGAUCACAACCGAGAGUUAGAACGCCCUAUAACUGCUGAAGAGAUUACAGCGGCAACGAAGAGUCUUCCUAGAAGCAAAGCCCCCAGACUGGACAAGGUACCGACCGAAUUUUUCCAAGAAUGUUGGAGGGAAAUUGGCCCCGACAUGGUGGAACUCAUCAAAGAGGUUCUCUCACAAGAAACAUUGCCCAAUAAAUUCAACACCAGCAAUGUAGUACUCAUCCCAAAAUCAGGUGACCUCUCUCUGAUCACAAACUACCACCUAAUUUCUAUUCUAAGCACAAUAUACAAAAUCAUAGCAAAAGCAUUGGCUAACAGACUAGUUCCUCACCUACCAAGAUGGAUUCAAAAAUCUUAAACAGGAUUUACUAGAGGAAGAUGUAUAUUUGAUAACGUCUUCCUAGCCACAGAAGCCAUGUCUUGGGCAGAAGAGAGCAAUCAGGACCUAGCCCUAAUACUUUGACAUUGAAAAAGCAAAUGAUCGCAUCGGUUGGAUUUUUUCGCAAGAUGCGAUGACACAAUUAGGUUUCUCCAACGAAUGGAUCACGUGGACAAUGGCUCUCAACAAUGAAGCUGAGGCAGUAAUAACCAUCAACGGAGAGCAAGGACAAUCCUUCAAGCUAGAGAGGUCAAUUCGCCAGAGGUGCCUCUUGGCACCCUACCUAUUUCUAUUUGCUGCCACCUUACUAGAAUAUGUGCUAGACGAUCCCAAGCACAACAUAGAAGGGCUCAUCCUAUCCAACCAAACCAGUCACACUAACUCUAUGUUUGCCGACGACACCUCACUAUUCCUCAAAAGAGAACCAAACAACAUGCAACAAACACUGAGAGUGUUAGACACGUACUAUGAAGCCUUCAGAGCUAAGAUUAACUGGCAUAAAACUCCGACAAUCUGGGUCUCCCAAAAAACACGAACCUUUAAUUGGAGAAAUGUGCAUGGUCUAACAUAGGUACGAACAGGAAUCCCAGUGCGCUACCUAGGCUUUCCAAUCGGAUUCCACAUGCCUCCAAAAGAGAACGGAGCCAAAAUCCUACAGCAAAUCAUAAGACAACUUAUCAAAUGGGGGCCCAAACAAUUAUCUUUAGCAGGCGAGAUAAUGAUCCUCAACUAAGUGGUCCUGGAUUCAAUAUGGUUCCUAGUUUCAUGCGCCAAUGUAGAAAAUAAAAUCUUCAAACAAAUGUGAUCUUUGGUAAGGAACUACCUAUUGUCCGGGAUCACCACAUGAACCACAAGAGCCAAGGUACAAUAGAAUACCAUCAUCCAAAUACUAACUCACGGAGGUCUAAAGGUCCUAGAACUUGAACUCCAAGCCAGAGCCCUCAUCGCAAAGCUGAUCACCUGUGGCAUGGCACCCGGAGUAGAACCAUAAAAAAUCCUACUUGGGCACUGGAUAACAGAAAUCCAAUACAGCAAGGGAGGAGAUUGGUACCAUAGCCCGCACUAGAUUACGGGAAACAAAAUAAAACUCAAACCCCAAGGCUCACCGUUGUGGCUCAAUGUGAGGUCAGUAUGUCAAGAAAUUCAACCUGGUCUGCAACAACAACCACCACAAUUUCUAGACAAACUGAUGUGCCAGCCUCUCUUCAACAACACACUGAUAAGAGACUCAAACGGAACGAUAUGGGGCCAAAACCUCCAGGACAAGUUCAAUCUAUGAACGAGAAAGGGAGUGCGGACUUGCGGGGACCUUUAGAACGCCACUUCAGAGGAUUGGCAUAUCGAGUCAACCCUGCAACACCGCACAGAAAGCCGCUUAAUUAAAGUUUAGAAAACCACAAUGCUCACAAACAUUCCAUGGCACUCGGGAAACAGACAACCUUACAUAGCCAUAGAGUGGUGGGCAAUUGAUACACAGGGAACCAUAGUCAAGAUAUUCUAUAC